UACGGGGGGGAGCAAGCGUUGUUCGGAUUUACUGGGCGUAAAGGGCGCGUAGGCGGUCGUGACAAGUCACUUGUGAAAUCUCCGGGCUUAACUCGGAACGGUCAAGUGAUACUGUCGUGCUAGAGUACAGAAGGGGCAACUGGAAUUCUCGGUGUAGCGGUGAAAUGCGCAGAUAUCAGGAAGAACACCCGUGGCGAAGGCGGCUCUCUGGGACGGUACUGACGCUGAGACGCGAAAGCGUGGGGAGCGAACAGG
This 255-nucleotide ribosomal RNA is filed under the name uncultured bacterium. RNAcentral describes it as "partial 16S ribosomal RNA". It matches the Rfam family "Bacterial small subunit ribosomal RNA", at positions 524 to 776 of the family's 1533-position model. The record is from RNAcentral.